AUGCACACCCGAUCAGGCCCGACGUCUGCUCCGUCGAGCUCGGCAGCGGCAAGUAGCCAUGCCAGCUCCAGAGGAGACGCCGUUUCAGUCCCUGCCGGCUCCUGUGAGGAGCCUGAGAGCAGCGCCGCCGGCUCCUGUGAGGAGCCUGAGAGCAGCGCCGCCGGCUCCUGUGAGGAGCCUGAGAGCAGCGCCGCCGGCUCUAGUGAAGUUCCUGUUCCUGUCGGCCAAGUAGAUGCCGUUCCUGUUCAUGUCGGCCAAGUAGAUGCCGUUCCUGUUCCUGUCGGCCAAGUAGAUGUCGUUCCUGUUCCUGUCGGCCAAGUAGAUGCCGUUCCUGUUCCUGUCGGCCAAGUAGAUGCCGUUCCUGUUCCUGUCGGCCAAGUAGAUGCCGUUCCUGUUCCUGUCGGCCAAGUAGAUGCCGUUCCAGUCCCUGUCGGCCAAGUAGAUGCCGUUCCAGUCCCUGUCGGCCAAGUAGAUGCCGUUCCAGUCCCUGUCGGCCAUGUAGAGGUCGAUCCAGUCCCUGUCGGCCAUGUAGAGGUCGUUCCAGUCCCUGUCGGCCAUGUAGGGGGCGUUCCCGUCCCUGUAGGCCAAGUAGAGGUCGUUCCCGUCCCUGUAGGCCAAGUUGAGGUCGUUCCCGUCCCUGGUCCGGUUCCCAUCGGCCCUGUAGCGGCCGUUCCAGUCCCUGUCACCCUCGGAGCCGCAGCGCCCGCCGGCCUCCAGGAGGAGGCGGCGCCUGCUGCAGCUCCUGCGGACCUCCAGGAGGAGGCGGCGCCCGCUGCAGCUCCUGCGGACCUCCAGGAGGGGGUCGCGCCAGCCGCAGUCCCGGCGGACCUCCAGGAGGGGGUCGCGCCAGCCGCAGUCCCGGCGGACCUCCAGGAGGGGGUCGCGCCCGUCGCAGUCCCGGCGGACCUCCAGGAGGGGGUCGCGCCCGUCGCAGUCCCGGCGGACCUCCAGGAGGGGGUCGCGCCCGUCGCUGUCCCGGCGGACCUCCAGGAGGGGGUCGCGCCCGUCGCGGUCCCGGCGGACCUCCAGGAGGGGGUCGCGCCAGUCAUUGUUCGUGCCGACCUCCAGGAGGGGGUCGUUCCCGUCGCGGCUCCGGCCGCACCUGCAUCGGUUCCUGGCGGCUCGGCUCCGGCCGCACCUGCAUCGGUUCCUGGCGGCUCGGCUCCGGCCGCACCUGCAUCGGUUCCUGGCGGCCCGGCUCCGGCCGCACCUGCACCGGUUCCUGGCGGCUCGGCUCCGGCCGCACCUGCACCGGUUCCUGGCGGCCCGGCGCCGGCCGCAUCUGCACGACUGUUCCCGCCUCAUCGGCCGGACGGGUGGCCUCGCCCUCGGUGCCUCCUGCUGAUUGGAUGGCGCUGCCUCCUUCGGCGCCGUCCGCCUCGACUCCGCCACCGCCACGGCCGUUCGCCUGGGGUGAGUCCCCUUCUGCCACGACGAUGGCGAAGCCUCUGCCGUCGCCGUCCGCCGCGACCCUGGGAUCCCCAGAGGAUCUCCGUCGGGAGUGGACUCUCCUGCCACCCCCCUCGUGAGGAACCCCUGGACUCUGUUCUCCCGGUCAUGGACUUUCGGUUUCGGUUCUGUGGACUCUUGUUUUGA
This 1596-nucleotide long non-coding RNA is filed under the name Betta splendens (Siamese fighting fish). RNAcentral describes it as "lncRNA (ENSBSLG00000025184.1)". Lineage: Eukaryota; Metazoa; Chordata; Actinopteri; Anabantiformes; Osphronemidae. The record is from RNAcentral.